This 859-nucleotide ribosomal RNA is filed under the name Aspergillus niger. RNAcentral's name for it is "eukaryotic LSU rRNA". It matches the Rfam family "Eukaryotic large subunit ribosomal RNA", at positions 37 to 976 of the family's 3401-position model. Lineage: Eukaryota; Fungi; Ascomycota; Eurotiomycetes; Eurotiales; Aspergillaceae. The record is from RNAcentral.
CGCUGGGGGUUUUGUUUUGGGAGGGAGACCAACCGGGAUUGCCUCAGUAACGGCGAGUGAAGCGGCAAGAGCUCAAAUUUGAAAGCUGGCUCCUUCGGAGUCCGCAUUGUAAUUUGCAGAGGAUGCUUUGGGUGCGGCCCCCGUCUAAGUGCCCUGGAACGGGCCGUCAGAGAGGGUGAGAAUCCCGUCUUGGGCGGGGUGUCCGUGCCCGUGUAAAGCUCCUUCGACGAGUCGAGUUGUUUGGGAAUGCAGCUCUAAAUGGGUGGUAAAUUUCAUCUAAAGCUAAAUACUGGCCGGAGACCGAUAGCGCACAAGUAGAGUGAUCGAAAGAUGAAAAACUCGCCCGCGGGGUUCAGCCGGCAUUCGUGCCGGUGUACUUCCCCGUGGGCGGGCCAGCGUCGGUUUGGGCGGCCGGUCAAAGGCCCCUGGAAUGUAGUGCCCUCCGGGGCACCUUAUAGCCAGGGGUGCAAUGCGGCCAGCCUGGACCGAGGAACGCGCUUCGGCACGGACGCUGGCAUAAUGGUCGUAAACGACCCGUCUUGAAACACGGACCAAGGAGUCUAACAUCUACGCGAGUGUUCGGGUGUCAAACCCGUGCGCGCAGUGAAAGCGAACGGAGGUGGGAGCCCCCUUGCGGGGCGCACCAUCGACCGAUCCUGAUGUCUUCGGAUGGAUUUGAGUAAGAGCGUAGCUGUGGGGACCCGAAAGAUGGUGAACUAUGCCUGAAUAGGGCGAAGCCAGAGGAAACUCUGGUGGAGGCUCGCAGCGGUUCUGACGUGCAAAUCGAUCGUCAAAUUUGGGUAUAGGGGCGAAAGACUAAUCGAACCUUUUUUCUGCGUUGGAUAAAAAGCCUGCUUAU